AAAAUGCAAAUAAGGAAACACACUCAAAAGCAAAAGAAACAAACACAACAAACAAACACAACACGCAAAAAAGCAGUAACAAAAAAAACACUUACUUUUGCCAAAGAGCUAAUGCGCGGCCCACAGAAGGGGGCGGCUGGCCGGCCAAUGGCGGCGGCACUGCCUCCAUCCUUCCACUCGUCUCACAUAUGGCCUCACAACAUUUCCAGCCUCUAAAAAAAAACUCUCAUCUCAAGUCUCU
This 241-nucleotide long non-coding RNA is filed under the name Lathyrus oleraceus (garden pea). RNAcentral's name for it is "Pisum sativum (pea) long non-coding RNA (PSAT_LNC007353)". Lineage: Eukaryota; Viridiplantae; Streptophyta; Magnoliopsida; Fabales; Fabaceae. The record is from RNAcentral.